AUUGAACGCUGGCGGCAUGCCUUACACAUGCAAGUCGAACGGCAGCGCGGGGCAACCUGGCGGCGAGUGGCGAACGGGUGAGUAAUAUAUCGGAACGUGCCCUGGAGUGGGGAUAACGUAGCGAAAGUUACGCUAAUACCGCAUACGAUCCAAGGAUGAAAGCAGGGGACCUUCGGGCCUUGUGCUCCUGGAGCGGCCGAUAUCUGAUUAGCUAGUUGGUGGGGUAAAAGCCUACCAAGGCGACGAUCAGUAGCUGGUCUGAGAGGACGACCAGCCACACUGGAACUGAGACACGGUCCAGACUCCUACGGGAGGCAGCAGUGUGGAAUUUUGGACAAUGGGGGGCAACCCUGAUCCAGCAAUGCCGCGUGUGUGAAGAAGGCCUCGGUUGUAAGCGACUUUGUUCAGGAACGAAACGGUUAGAGG
This 426-nucleotide ribosomal RNA is filed under the name uncultured bacterium. RNAcentral's name for it is "bacterial SSU rRNA". It matches the Rfam family "Bacterial small subunit ribosomal RNA", at positions 30 to 460 of the family's 1533-position model. The record is from RNAcentral.